Cottoperca gobio is the source of this 415-nucleotide long non-coding RNA. RefSeq lists it as uncharacterized. Lineage: Eukaryota; Metazoa; Chordata; Actinopteri; Perciformes; Bovichtidae. The record is from RefSeq and is a predicted model, not a curated record. The transcript is spliced from 3 exons.
CAGACAGUCUGUGUUCCGUAUAAAUCAGCAGCUGUGGACUGUUGGGUUUAACUCACGGUUUAACCACUGUCCCUGUACUUUGUGGUUUCUCUAUUUUUAGGGGAUUUUUUUCGUACGUUGGCGUUUCUUUACCCUUUGCUUUCACUUCUUCACACGUUGAGUGUGUGCGAUCAGAGCGUGCUUCUGUCGUUACAGGAGGACAAUAAGGAAAACCGUACAUCAUCAGUCAUGGCCACCAUCAGCAGCUCAAACACAGGUUUUGCCCUGGAGUUGUUCCGCACUCUGAGCCAAGCAAAUCCCAGCGGGAACAUCUUUAUCUCCCCGCUGAGCAUCAGCUCCGCCCUGGCUAUGGUUUACCUCGGUGCUAGAGGAGACACUGCUGCUCAGAUGGCAAAGGCCCUCUCAUUCAGCUCUG